Molecule: long non-coding RNA, 3482 nt
Organism: Humulus lupulus (European hop)
Lineage: Eukaryota; Viridiplantae; Streptophyta; Magnoliopsida; Rosales; Cannabaceae
Exons: 2
Source: RefSeq, a predicted model, not a curated record
UUCAGCAUUUAAAAUACCUAGUGCUGCAACAUAAUGAUAUUCAGACUCUCAACUACUCUCCUAGAGUGCAAGAAAGACCCAAGUCUUCGAAUUCGAAGAGUAACAAAAGGAGAAACUGUAAGAGAAAUCAAUCUUCUUCUGGGAAAAAUCGAGAUCCAGGGGAGAUACCGUAACAGUUGCUAAGGAUUUAUUUGAGGUUAAUGACACUUUCAAACCAAAUUUUGGAAACGGAGAGGAGGCGGCCCAAAGCAUGCCCCCACCAUCCUUAUGAGGUGCUUGGCAUGGAACUGCUGAGGGUUGGCAAGACCCCAGGUAGAAACGGCGGUCCGAGCCUUGUUGACGAGGUUCGACCCUCAAGUUUUAUUUCUCAUGGAAACCAAAGUAAAGUUUGAUGUGAAGAAGAUGAAAGCUAGAAGAUUAGGCUUUAUGAAUUAUGUUGUUGUUCCGGCUACAUGAUUAGAUGGUUGAUAGAGAUGUCAUCCAUGUCCUUCUUCAAAAGGAUCAAGGGUGUGGGAGUGGGCCCUCUUUUGUUCAUAUGGUUCCCCUUAUAUGAAUGAAAAGGCUAACUUCUAGGAUAGAUUACAGAAUCAUAUAUUAAAUUGUGGUUUGCCUUGAGUCAUAAUUGGUCAUAUGAAUGAGACUCUUCAUGAUAAUGAGAGAAUUUUUGCUAUGAUGACUCAGAGAAAGAAAAGUGAGUUCCUUAAAAAAUUUCUUGAAUUGACAGGUGGAGUUGAGAUUAAAAACUCUAGAGGAAAUUACACCUGGUGCAACAAUAGAGCAAUGUGCUCAAUAGAUUGGUGUCUCUCUUUUCCUAAAGCUGGCGUUCACACUCUCCCCACCACUUUUUUUUUACCACUCUCCCAUUAUGCUUGAUACCUCCUUUGAUGUUGAAAAAGGGGGUUCUCCUUUUCGCUUCUUUAAUGUUUGGGAAGAGUACUCGGAGUAUUCCUUAGUUAUUAUUGAAGCUUGGAAGCAGUAAUUUGAGGGCCACAAGAGCUUCAUUCUGCUCCAGAAAUUAAAGGAAGCUAUGAAAGCUUUGAAAGUGUUGAGCAGGAACAUUUUUGAUGUUGAUGGUUCCAAACUAAAGCAAUUGGAGGACAGAUUAUUAGCUCUUCAAAAUGGGAAUAUCUCUCAAUAUUCUAUUAGUGAAAAAGAUAACAUCCGAAAUGAGAUUGCCAAAGUUUAUUCUCAUAAUGAGAAGGUGUGGAGACAAAAAUCUAGAGAGAUGUGGCUAAAACAUGGGAAUCGUAACUCGAAGUUCUUCCAUGCAUCCACUGUUGUUUGUAGAAAGGGAAAUCUCAUAUGGAAUGUUAAAGACAUGAAUCGCAGAUGGUUGUCGUCUAAAAGGGAGAUAGGAAGGAAGUUGUUAGGAGCAUGAACGCAGAUAGUGCCCCGGGUCUUGAUGGGAUGACUGGAGCUUUCUACAAACAGAAUUGGAGAGUGUUGGGCCUUUGAUUAUUGAUUUUGUUCAGGAAGCCUUUCAGUCGAGAAGAUUUGUUAAAAGUUUGAAUCAUUCAUUUAUAUGCCUUAUUCCAAAGAUUUUUUUAUGCUUGCUCUUUCGACCAUUUCAGGCCAAUUAGCCUAAGUAUUUAUUCUUACAAGACUGGCAAAAAUCUUGUCCAACUGAUUAAGAUUGAUUAUGGAUAGAAUUGUUGGUCCUUAUCAAGCCGCUUUCAUUCCUGGUAGAUGGAUUGUGGAAUGCUCUAUUUUGGGCCAGGAAGUCAUGCAUUUGAUCAAAAGAAAGAUAGACAAUGGUGGUUUAAUGGCGAUAAAGACUGACAUGAGCAAAGCAUAUGAUCUGAUUGAAUGGGAGUUUCUAAGAAGAGUCUUAAUUGAAAAUGGGUUUCAUGACCGAGCAGUCAACCUUAUUAUGUUUUGUGUCUCCUUGGUUACUUACUCUGUUUUACUAAAUGGUUCCCCUAUCAAAGCAAUUACUCCCAGCAAAGGUCUGAGGUAAGGAGACCCUAUGUCACCUUUUAUUUUCCUCCUAUGUGGUAAGGUUCUUUCUAAACUUUUGCUGCAAGCGGAGCGAAGAGAUUUGAUUCAUGGGGUUAAAAAUUUUGCAAAUAAUGCGGUGGUGUCUCAAUUGAUGUUUGCAGAUGACAAUUUUUUUCUUUUAUAGAGCAAAUUCCAAGGAUUUAGAAACUUUACAAGCAAUCUUUUUGAAGUAUGAAACUUGGUCUGGGCAGAAGAUUAAUUUAAGUAAAUCUUCUAUGUUUUUAUCUCCAAACAUGAAUAGAAGAAUUCAGGAAAGGCCUUUGGAGAAGAUGAGGAUGAAAGAACUCAAAAAGGAGGAGGACCAUUAUUUGGGAAGCCCAAUCUUUCUAUCGAGACAAAGAUGUGCAGACUUUGAUUUUUUAAAGGAAAAGUUGAGAAUCUCAUUGGAAGGAUGGCGUAAUAGGUUCUUAUCAAGGGCUGGAAGAACUACGCUUAUCAGAUCAGUUGCUAUAGAAAUUCCUAAUUAAACCAUGGUUGCCUAUGAAAUUCCCAAAAUAAACUUGUCGUCAGAUGGAUGCUAUGAUGCGAAAGUUUUGGUGGGUUGGAGGCAUUGACAAGGAGAGGUUUUUGUUGCUCAAAUCCUGAGAUUACUUGUGCCAACCUAAGUCAAAUGGUGGUCUGGGGUUUAGAAGAUUUGAGGAUGCAAAUAGAGCUUUAAAAGCUAAAUUAUCUUGGUUUGUGGCUUCUAAAAUCAAUAGACCAUGAGUGCAGAUGUUGUUGCUUAAAUAUUGCAUAAAUAAAUCCUUUUGGGAAACUUAGGCUACUAGUUUUAGCUCUUCUAUUUGGAGAUCUAUAAUGCAUACUAGAGGCUUGAUGCUUAAGGGGUGCCUUUUCAGGUUGGAUUAGGAAACUCAAUUUCUAUUUGGUAUCAUCCAUGGAUGCCUCAGUUGGAGGAUUAUUCUUUGCAAUUUCAUAGGAAUCCAGUAGCGCUAUCAUAAGAAGCUUACAAAUACAAGAUGGUGAGUGAGUUGAUGCUUCCAGGUACUCGGAUUUGGAAUCAGUCACUACUCUACCAAUGUUUUUAGCCUCAAACUGCUUUGAUGAUAGCUAGCAUUAAAUUUCUUCAUUGCCAUUGGAGGAUAAGUGUAUUUGGAUUGCAACAAAAAAUGGCAAGUUCAAUAUAAAGAGUGCAUACUAUUUGGAUCAAGAGGUGAGAUUCAAUGAGAAAGUGGAGAUGUUGAAUAGGCUAUGGUCAUGUAAAUCUAUUGAGAGACAUACAUUAUAGAUGUGGAACAUAGCAAUUGAUGCUCUGCCAACUGUUGAAAAGCUAAGUUUUUUGCAUUCUAGCUCAAUAUAAGUUAGCUGCAUUUUAUGCAAUAAUGCUGAAGAACUAAUUAUUCAUCUCUUCAAAAAUUGUCCUGCAACUAAAGCUAUUUGGUUAGCUUCUCCUUGGGGCAUUAGAAGUGAUGCAAUAGCUGUGGAUUCAUGUCUAAAAUUAAUUGAAUGGUUAACUGAGCAAGAUUCAAGAGCUAAUUUCACAAGAA